RNAcentral lists this ribosomal RNA (253 nucleotides) under uncultured bacterium. Its description in RNAcentral is "partial 16S ribosomal RNA". It matches the Rfam family "Bacterial small subunit ribosomal RNA", at positions 524 to 776 of the family's 1533-position model. The record is from RNAcentral.
UACGAAGGGGGCUAGCGUUGUUCGGAAUUACUGGGCGUAAAGCGUGCGCAGGCGGUUUCUCAAGUCAGGGGUGAAAGCCCAGAGCUCAACUCUGGAACUGCCUUUGAAACUGUGAAACUCGAGUACGGGAGAGGUGAGUGGAAUUCCCAGUGUAGAGGUGAAAUUCGUAGAUAUUGGGAAGAACACCGGUGGCGAAGGCGGCUCACUGGCCCGUUUCUGACGCUCAUGCACGACAGCGUGGGGAUCAAACAGG